UUGGACGUGGUGGCUUAGGGACAUGGUUCAGUGGGUGACAUUGGUGGUAGGGGGAUGGUUGGACCAGAUGAUCUUGAAGGUCUCUUCCAACCCUUAUGUUUUUAUGAUUAUAUACCAAACUUUAUUUUUGUGUUCAUUUCAAAGACCUCUCAAUGAGCAGUUGACUAGGCAGUCCUGCCCAGUCCAUCCUAUAGAAAUAUAAAUACUUCAGUGUUGCUUGAUAUUUUCGGAUUAAGGAGUAUCUUAAAAAGCUGUAUUUUACAGAGAACAUCUGAAGGUCUAAACACUGUUGAAAACUGUUCAGUGGCUUUAUCAUUAGCAUAACGACUGUGGAGCAAGCUCCAGAAGGAUGAGUCACUCAUACUGUUUUCAAGUUUAGUGAAAGUUCAUUGAAAUUCAGUGACACAGAUAUUUUUAAAAGGUUUAAAAAAGAGUGUGUAGCUUCUGAAAGAAAAUAACUAGGCUUUUAAACUCUUGCAGACAAGAGCAUUUUAUUUUUUGAUAACUAAUCUGCAGAACUCCUAACGUCCCUUCAACCUGAGCUGCACCAGGAACGUACCUGAACAAGCAAAUGGAGAGACGGCAGUCCCCAGAGCUAAAGAGGGAGUACCAAGUUAAUUCCGGGUUUGGAUCAAACUAGGCAGAUGUUGAGGCUGGGAUUGGAAAAACUGUAUGGAGUAAAGUCCCUCUUGGCUUGCUCUUUUCUUGGGGGAGGGUUGAAAGGAGGACAUUUUACAGCUGUGUCUAAUUUUAUCUGAAGAGCGUUGGCUGACUUCUGACUUAGCUCGCUGCAGUGGAGGCAAUGCCUUGUGAAGGCACCUGGAUGUAAUUUGGCAGUUUCCAUACGACAGCCACGUUGAGUUUAGUGGCACUUAAGCCAUCCGGCUGAUUGGCCAUAGCAUGUGAGCUACAGCCUGAGCUUUCACUCAGGCUUUUCGCAGCCUGCCCAGCAGAGGAGCAGCAGGUACAGCCCCCUGAGUGCUGACAGCCUUGAGGUCCUUCCCGCUGGGCAGGGAAGGGCAGCUCUGCUGGGCACAGUUUGCUCGUGGCACCAGCAAGUGCGUGCUGGUCCUCGCCUAGAUGCUCAGGGUGGCUGCAGCUGCAGGGGGGUAAACACUGGGACAGGAACACAUGACUGAAAAGUUGCACUGACUGUGGUUUGAGAGAGGUAGCUGGCCCCUCUGCUGCAUUACGUUCCCCUGGUGCCUUGGUGUCUGUUGUAGGAAGCACCUGCUGCUGUUUUUGUUUUCUGCUCAUUCUGUUCUGUUUUGUCAGCUAGAGAUGAGUGUCUUGCACCGGUUUCCCUUAGCAGGGUGAGUACUUCCACUGCUCCGGUUUUUACUGAAGUAAAUGCUCAGUUCCAUUGGUUGUUGGUUUUGUUUUUUUGUUGUUGUUGUUGUUUUGUUUUGUUUUGUUCUGAAGUUCAGGGAGAAAAGCCAAGCCAACGUAUUUCAUGUCUGAGGAUAAGGCAGGGUGCACAUGUGGUCUGCUACCCUGACUUCACUAACAGGUAGUAAGCUGUAAAAGAAAUCAGCUUCAUCACUUGCAAUGAUGUGAAAGUGCAACGCUGAAGGCAUUGUCUUUAUGCUGUUGCUUUUACAAGAGUGAUGUAGUGCUUGUUUUUCUUUCUUGGUGCUUUACUCGUGGUAUAGCAGAGUGUGUGUUGCCUGUCCACUUACCACGUAAUGUAAGCUUUAUCUGUCUGAUACAGAAAAGUUCUGCACCUGAAGGGGCAGAAAAAAUCCUCUCUUUUUCAGCCUGGUGUAAAGAGCAGGCUUAAGCUUCCGUUUACCUUUUCCUUCUGAACUUUGCACCCUUUGGACCCAUUGAAAAGAAAGAACUGAAGCUUCUUGCACAGCCAGUGGUACAGGAAGGAGCUCUCUUCCAUGUGCCAGUUUGUUCACUUACCAGCUUGAUGUUGUGGGUGAGCUCACAAAUGCAAUUUUGGGUUACUGUUCUCUACCUUGAUGAAGUUGUGCUUCGCUUUUAAUUCCCGUAUUGUGUUGUACCAUGGUGAAAGGAAUAGGCUACUGGUUAAAAGUUGUAGUGGCUCUAAAUGCAUAUAUUUGUUGGAAAUGUUUUCAGAUUUGCCAUAUGCAUGUGACUUUGAGGCUGGUUCGUGGCAUAGCUAUCCCUCCUCUUUCAUUCAGCAACUUGUGAGUGAGUAUAAAUGCUGUGUGCAGCGUUGCUGAUGGGGAUGGGCAGCUGAAACAGAGCAGCUGAACAGGGCUGCAGCCUGGUUAGCUCUACCUGACAUAAUCUGGUUACUGUUGCAUAUUGCUUUUUCAUCUGUAUUUAGUUGGAAUUCCUGAUUUUUUCCUUUAAAAAAUCAAUAAAUUGUCUCUCCAUAUUUCUCCUAAGGUUUUUGAUUUUUUUUUUCUUUUCCUUUCUUCAUAGAGCCCUGACACAUCCCCUGUCUCUAAAUACCCUAAAAGUACACAGUGCGUCAGACCUGCAGUUCCUCUGUUCAGCAGUGUCAACCUCUGAAAGAAGCAGUGCUUCCAAAAUGUAUUGAAAUGAAAGUUUGCAUCUCUUAGAUGUCUAAUGGUAGAGUAGUAGACUAGACUAGUAGUAGACUAGCAGUUUGUUACACAGCAGCAAUCUCACCAGGUAUGUAGUCACAUAUUACCUCAUGGCAAAUACCAAAGCAGCUCCAAGCUUGUUGAUGAAUUCAUAUUGCUGUUGGCAAAUUUCUUAAAAUGUUGCCUUGUGGUCUGCUUUCCACUAAUGUUCUGUUGCAAUGGUAAGCAGUUUUUUUUUCCUUUCCAAAUUUUACAGAUUUCUCAUGACAAAUAUUUUUUAGUUACUUAAAAUCUGCCCGAAUAUUCAGCUUUUCAGAAAAUCUGUAUGUAUUGUCAGGAGCUCUGUAGUUAAGUUAGUUCUUCCUGUUCAGAACUGUCUAUAGGACCAUUUUCAAAUAUUCUUUCUGGAUUAAGUAUAUGGGGUGUGAUAUUUUUACUCUUAAACUGCUCUUAAAAGUCUUAGGUGCGUAGGAAUACUGUGUUGAAACUUGAUAUGCCUCCCAGGCAUAGAGUUAAUGCUUCAAGAGAAAUUUCUUUGUGGAGAGCUGCUUGUGCUCAGCUUUUUUAUGGAGGCUGGUGUAGAAGUAGGGAAGAUUGUUUUGACUCCUCCAGAGUUCAGGAGCUCAGACAGCCUCUGCUCAGUUACUACCCUGAGUAUGUAUAAUCGUAAAUUAAAUAAUUUAAAAGUGCUACAUAUGGUUUAGCAUGUCAGUGAAGCAUUUAAUCCAGAGUACCUGAAGUCGGAGUGAGCUGCACGAGUUACUGAAUUAGGGUGAGCAUUGUCCUUUAAAUUCAAGGGCACCUUGCUCCGUAAGGCAUUCCCGUCCACGGUGCCCAGCCCUGGCAGGUAGCUUGCUUUCAUGAAGUGACAGUCUGCUGUCACUUCUGUCUUCCUCUGUCAGUGCCACCUGUCUCUGGCACAGAUUAAUGAGCAUGGUAACGCGUUGAGGUUGUGGAGCUUGGUGUGCUGCUGUGGGUGGGUUGGAGCUGACUUGAGAGGAGGUGUUCAAGAGGGUGAAGGGGCUGGUGCUGAUAGUCCAGACAGGGCAAAACAGCUCAAUUCCUGCCACGUAGCAGUGGGGCUCCACAAAGCAGGUUUGUGCAGCGUUGUUCUUGGAGGGAAAUGGAGGAAAAGGUGAGUGUGAACAUGCUCAGAACAGGACCUGGACACUGGGACAGAUCCAACUGAUGCUGGGAGCUGGCAAAGGAAGACAGCAGAGCUAGCUGCUAGCAGAUGAUUUCCAAGAAGUCACUGAUUUUGCGCCUGACUUGCAGACCUGCUGUUCUGUCAUAUCAUUUUGUUUGUUUGUUAAUGCUGUGUGAAAAAUACCAGUGGAGGUGUGCUACACAAAUACACAGUGAAGGCUGAUUACCAGUGUGCCAUUUUUUUCUGCUCUUUUAAAUGCAUUUAUGCUUUAGGCUUGGAUAACAUCUAUCAUAUCCCAAGUAUGUACAGAGCCAGGUCCUGUCAGAGGACUCUGUACUUUCUUACUAACUACCGUUCAACUGCAAAUCUCUCUCACAGGAAGGUGCUGGAACUCCUGAGAUUUAUCCCAACAAGAAGCCUAGCAGAAUAAGGCAGGACAUGGGUUUGAAAUUCAAUAAUGAAGUAGCAGCACCUUGUUUGUUCCUCAUGUUCAACCCCAGAAAAGGAAGACAGGAAAGUGGAAGUCCCCUUGGAAUUCAGAAGGAAAUCCUGCAGCUAAUUGUAGAUGUCUGUGCCAAACAAUUCUGAACAAAUGAUGAUUUUGGCUAUUGUUUGUGACAUGACUUACUAAUGGUAGUGCCCCAUGUUACUUGAUCUGAAGGAAAACAGAGUCUUGAAGUAGUCAUUACAUCCUAAAAAUAUCAGUUGUGUAAUAUUCAUAGAAGUUCUGCUAUGAGCAUGGAUUGAUUGCUGAAACUUUUUUGUUAGGGAUCUGGUAUCCUAUAAUAAAGCAGGUAGAAUAUCCCUCACCGUCACGGAAUGAACUGCCAUCAUUCUAAUGAUGGUCUAUGAAUCUUCUUCCCUCUCCUCAGAUCUGUAGGGUAAUUGUUUUUUGAUUGGGGUAGGGGGAAAAAAGGAAGAAGGACGGACAAAUACUCAAAUGUAGUUGGAGUUGUUAUUCAUAUGAGGAGAUACUGUGUCUGUUGGGUGUUUUUGUAAAAUAGAGUAUAUCAUUUUUGUCUUAGGACAGAGAGGGUGAUUGAGUAACUUCACAAAGGAGGCCUUGCAGUUGCAGAUAGUUUAAAGAAAAUCUUAAUGGUUUGCUAAAGAAAUGGACAAAAGUUGAUUCACUAAGUUCGGUGAUUUUCUGAGAAGGCACAAUUACAUGAUCGAGUCUUUAAAAACAAAUAGGCAUGAGACAAGACAGUGUACAUAGAUACAGUAAGAAAACUACUGUGGUUGCUUCACUAAAGUAUUAAGAAAUUAGAAUGCUUUUUUUUUUUUUCAGAGUUAAAGGACUUUGCAGACUAUGUAUAAAUAACAGUUUUUGGUAUGACUUCGUUUUAAAAUUUCCUCUUUGCUUUUAUUUUAUGCUUACUGAAUAUAUCCAUUUUGUUUAGUCAUCACUUUGCUUCAGUCACCUUGGUCUGUAGUUGGAAAAAAAAAAAAAGAGGUUGUUUGGUGGUCUUAAUGGGGAAGUAUUUUUGCAAAGAAAUCACUUCUUUGCUGCAGCUUUUCUAUUUUGUUUCUGUUUUGUCAUGAACAAGCUAAACAGUUUCCUG
Molecule: long non-coding RNA, 5231 nt
Organism: Cygnus olor (mute swan)
Lineage: Eukaryota; Metazoa; Chordata; Aves; Anseriformes; Anatidae
Exons: 2
Source: RefSeq, a predicted model, not a curated record